GGGUAUUGCGAUUACAUAUAGAAAUAAAAAUAAAAAAUCUCUUUAUUAUAGGGUAUAAAUUCCCCCAAAAAAGUAAAUAAAACUUAAUAAAAACCUAACACACACUAGAGAGAAAUAAGAGAAUCUAGGUGAGGAAGGAGAGGUGAAAAUAAAGUGAUACUAAAAAGUAUCACAACAAGAAAAAAUCUUUGUAUACAACAAUAAGUUAUGUCUCCCCUAAAAUUAUAUAGCGAUCUAGGUAGUAGCUAUCCUGUAUAACAGAGUGUAACAAUUGCCAAAUGUUAGCCCUAAAUGCUGAUUGUGGAUACAAAGUAUCCUCUAAAGUAACAACAGCUGGUGAGCGUAGAAGGCAAAAGAAAUAAACCGGACUUCCUGCUACCCAGGAUUCCAGACUAAGGACACUAAUAUAGCCUAUGCUGUGAGAGGGAUUCCACUAGAGAUCCACAAUACUAUACGCUAAGGCUAUCCAUAUAAUGAAGGAGUCCGUCUGUAAUAACUACCCAUCACUCUAAAUAAAUUUCUCAAUCAUUUCUCUCUAACCCCUAAUGUGCAUAGAAAAAGUGCUGUGGUUUAAAAUAAAUAAGGCAUAAAUCCUGACGCACGUUUCGGCGCUACCUGAGCGCCUUUGUCAAAGGUAACGACGACCUUUGACAAAGGCGCUCGGGUAGCUCGAGACAAAGCUCCGUGUUGAGGGUCAAGCAGUGAACAGUCAGAGCUAUGGGUUUAUUGUGCUUAUGUACACAUUCUUACACAUUAGUACCACCCAGAGGGUUUUGGAACACAACCAAUAAACACAUACAAUACACUCAGACACUCCCACACAAAUUCCU
Molecule: non-coding RNA, 830 nt
Organism: Pelobates cultripes (western spadefoot toad)
Lineage: Eukaryota; Metazoa; Chordata; Amphibia; Anura; Pelobatidae
Source: the annotation of a GenBank genome assembly